UGGAUUUGAAGGCCUGCUGCACCUCUAA
This 28-nucleotide non-coding RNA is filed under the name Mus musculus (house mouse). Lineage: Eukaryota; Metazoa; Chordata; Mammalia; Rodentia; Muridae. The record is from RNAcentral.